CUGGAUGUGGCCACCCUGUGGCUCGAGGUCAAUUUAGAGUGUCCAUUGAACAAGGAGCAAUGGGGAUUGGGUACCCGGCAACUCUUCAGUCGCAUAAUAAUAAUAAAUGAUAUGUAUUGAGAGAGUCCCAAAGUCUGGGUCAUUCUCCCCCAACCUUUACUUUAGAGUUAUAUAUUUAUUACUGUAUAUGUAUAUGCUUAAAACAACAUGACGUUUUAAUGACUUUAUCAAAGAUUUUACAGAUAAGUGCUUAAAUUUGUAAUUUGGGUUGCGAUACUUUGCUUUGUUUUCUUUAAAUUAAGUGUUUCCCAAUACAUAGAAAGUAUUGGCAAACACUUUAACAUACAGUAGAGCAACACAACAAUAUACUAUUAUAUUACUUAUUUCAGCUUCCUUCUUUCUAGGGGGCGCCACUGCAGAUGAUCCACAUAUUAAGAUUCCCCUCCUGACGCAAAAACCUCCCAUUUAUCUGAGCUGUGGCUGGAGGUCAAUUUAACACACUACAAGGAGCCACUGCAGAGGGGUCGGAGAGCCGCAUGAAGCUCGGGAGCCGCAGGUUGCAGACCCCUGGUCCAUUGUAGCCAGACUCUCCCUGAUAAGGAUGAUGGAUGGGGCAGAACUCUGGCUCCAGCCGAGCCCCGGCAGCUUCCUGGGAGCUGAGAGAUACUGAGGAGG
Long non-coding RNA from Solea solea (common sole), 675 nucleotides. RefSeq lists it as uncharacterized. The transcript has 3 exons. The record is from RefSeq and is a predicted model, not a curated record. Lineage: Eukaryota; Metazoa; Chordata; Actinopteri; Pleuronectiformes; Soleidae.